RNAcentral lists this ribosomal RNA (507 nucleotides) under uncultured bacterium. Its description in RNAcentral is "bacterial SSU rRNA". It matches the Rfam family "Bacterial small subunit ribosomal RNA", at positions 15 to 518 of the family's 1533-position model. The record is from RNAcentral.
GAUCCUGGCUCAGGAUGAACGCUAGCGACAGGCCUAACACAUGCAAGUCGAGGGGCAGCGCGGGGUAGCAAUACUCUGGCGGCGACCGGCGCACGGGUGCGUAACAGGUGUGCAAUCUGUCCAUAGUCGGGGGAUAGCCCAGCGAAAGCUGAAUUAACACUCCAUGUGAAUCGAAGCCGCAUGACUUUGAUUUGAAACGCAAGGACUAUGGGUGAGCACGCUUCUGAUUAGCUAGUUGGUGGGGUAACGGCUCACCAAGGCGACGAUCAGUAGGGGUUCUGAGAGGAAGGUCCCCCACAUUGGAACUGAGACACGGUCCAAACUCCUACGGGAGGCGGCAGUGAGGAAUAUUGGUCAAUGGGCGAGAGCCUGAACCAGCCAAGUCGCCGUGAAGGAUGAAGGUUCUAUGGAUUGUAAACUUCUUUUGUCCGAGGGUAAAAAGGCCACGUGUGGCUUCUUGCAAGUAUCGGACGAAUAAGCAUCGGCUAACUCCGUGCCAGCCGCGGC